This 466-nucleotide ribosomal RNA is filed under the name uncultured bacterium. RNAcentral's name for it is "bacterial SSU rRNA". It matches the Rfam family "Bacterial small subunit ribosomal RNA", at positions 28 to 496 of the family's 1533-position model. The record is from RNAcentral.
GACGAACGCUGGCGGCAGGCCUAACACAUGCAAGUCGAACGCCGUAGCAAUACGGAGUGGCAGACGGGUGAGUAACGCGUGGGAACAUACCCUCCGGUUCGGAAUAACUCAGGGAAACUUGAGCUAAUACCGGAUACGUCCAAGGUUUUAAUCGGCCUUGGAGAAAGAUUUAUCGCUGGAGGAUUGGCCCGCGUCUGAUUAGCUUGUUGGUGAGGUAAUGGCUCACCAAGGCGACGAUCAGUAGCUGGUCUGAGAGGAUGAUCAGCCACAUUGGGACUGAGACACGGCCCAAACUCCUACGGGAGGCAGCAGUGGGGAAUAUUGGACAAUGGGCGAAAGCCUGAUCCAGCCAUGCCGCGUGAGUGAAGAAGGCCUGCGGGUUGUAAAGCACUUUCAGUCGGGAGGGAACGAGGGGUUGGCGGAACAGCCGGGCCCGCCUCGACGUAACCGACAGAAGAAGCACCGG